GAUGAACGCUAGCGGCAGGCCUAAUACAUGCAAGUCGAACGGUAAGUAUUUUAGCAAUAGAAUACGAGAGUGACGUACGGGUGCGUAACACGUAUGCAACCUACCCUUUACAGGAGGAUAGCUCGGGGAAACUCGAAUUAACCCUCCAUGAGAUCACAGUGUGGCAUCACACAGUGAUUAAAACUCCGGUGGUAAAGGAUGGGCAUGCGUCUGAUUAGUUAGUUGGCGGGGUAACGGCCCACCAAGACGAUGAUCAGUAGGGGAACUGAGAGGUUGAUCCCCCACACUGGCACUGAGAUACGGGCCAGACUCCUACGGGAGGCAGCAGUAGGGAAUAUUAGUCAAUGGAUGGAAGUCUGAACCAGCCAUGCCGCGUGCAGGAAGAAGGCCUUCUGGGUUGUAAACUGCUUUUGCCAGGGGAUAAAAAGCCAUGCGUGGUUAAUUGAAGGUACCUGGUGAAUAAGCCACGGCUAACUACGUGCCAGCAGCCGCGGUAAUAC
Molecule: ribosomal RNA, 500 nt
Filed under: uncultured bacterium
Lineage: Bacteria
Description: bacterial SSU rRNA
Rfam family: Bacterial small subunit ribosomal RNA
Source: RNAcentral